This 104-nucleotide small nuclear RNA is filed under the name Myotis davidii. The record is from RNAcentral. Lineage: Eukaryota; Metazoa; Chordata; Mammalia; Chiroptera; Vespertilionidae.
GUGCUCGCUUUGGCAGCACAUAUACUAAAAAAUUGGAACGAUACAGAGAAGAUUAGCAGGGCCCCUGCUCAAGGAUGACACGCAAAUUCGUGAAGCGUUUUUUU